This is a long non-coding RNA of Fundulus heteroclitus (mummichog), 608 nucleotides long. RefSeq lists it as uncharacterized. The record is from RefSeq and is a predicted model, not a curated record. Lineage: Eukaryota; Metazoa; Chordata; Actinopteri; Cyprinodontiformes; Fundulidae. The transcript is spliced from 2 exons.
GUUCUAAAAGUACAAAACUGUAAUACAGGGUCCUGAGCUGAUGGAGGUGCUGACUGACGACGGCUCACUCGCCGUAGAUCACGACAUGCCAGAGGACUCUGUAAAUACUUCGUAUGACUCGGUCCAGAUGCGCCGCCGUCGCCGUCGAUGCCGCUUCUGCUGUGGAUGCUGCCCCAACAUGGUUGGCUGUGGAACCUGCUGCAAAUUCUGAGCAACUGAGCUCCAGGCUGCAGAUCCUUGAAGCACUGUAGCAAAAAGAACAAGAAGAAAGUGACACUGAAUAAAAAGUAUAUGCUACUUUUGGUAUAAGUGUUGAUGAAGCAUUUUAACCUGUUUGUCUUUAAAACUUUUUUAUGAUGUUAGUGGAUGUCUAAUUGUAACAAGUACAGUAUGUUUUGACUUUAUUAUCUAAACUCUCUGACAAAAUAUGCACAGAUAUAACAGUGUACUUGUAAAAUUUAUUUCAAUAUCACUAAACAGUAAUAUGCAAAACAGAUGUUUUGGGAAAAUAACAGAUAUUAGUUAACCAGAACAAAACGUACCAAAGGAUCCUUUUGUCCGUGAUUUAAAUAGUGUAUGUUUUCACAAUAAAUAAUACUAGUCUUUCC